This 253-nucleotide ribosomal RNA is filed under the name uncultured bacterium. RNAcentral describes it as "partial 16S ribosomal RNA". It matches the Rfam family "Bacterial small subunit ribosomal RNA", at positions 524 to 776 of the family's 1533-position model. The record is from RNAcentral.
UACGUAGGGGGCAAGCGUUGUCCGGAAUCAUUGGGCGUAAAGCGCGCGUAGGCGGCCCGGUAAGUCCGCUCUGAAAGUCCAGGGCUUAACCCUGGAAAGCGGGUGGAUACUGCCGGGCUUGAAUCCGGAAGAGGCGAGUGGAAUUCCUGGUGUAGCGGUGGAAUGCGCAGAUAUCAGGAGGAACACCAAUGGCGAAGGCAGCUCGCUGGGACGGUACUGACGCUGAGACGCGAAAGCGUGGGGAGCAAACAGG